CAAAGCCGGUUACUUAAAGGUGCAGCAGCUGUGUUUGGUGUCGGUCGGUCUGAUUGCAGGGAGGAGGGUUCUUAAAGGGGUAGUGUAGGGGUCGAGGCAUUGGGAGCGUUAAAUAACCUGCCCAGGGUGAUAGACUGAGUCAGUGGCAGAGCCAGGAAUGGACCCCAGGAGUAGCUCCUGCCUGGCCAGCUUAGGCACUUCCCCUGAAGUCGCUGGGGACCAUUCACUGGAGAGGACCAAACACCAGACCCCAGGGUCUACUUCUAGACACAAGACAGCACGUGAAGAAGCAGAACCCACAGCAAGUCACUGAGUACACUGAGAUUAUACCAGUGUAAUGUAAGCUGGGCUUCCCUCCGCCUGCCUACCUGUUGGGCUUUCAGUGACCCUGCAUGUUCUUUUCCUACCUUGAAGGGUCUCCUGGCAGGUCCCAUCCUCUGCUCUGGGGCACAAAGCUGCUGUUAACCCUGGGUGCUAGGAGCAGGGCAGCAGGUCCGUGGCGUCCCUGGGUGCUGGCCGUGCUUGUUGUCCCAGGCACUUCAUGAAUACUUCAGGAACACGCCGGUGUUGGGUUUCAAGUGCUUCCAGUAAUGAGAGCAAAAUGAUCUCGCAGAUUCAAUUCUAGCCAGGGGCUCUGAGAAAAUAUUUCCACAAGUGUCUUUCCACAGCCGUCAGGAGGUGAGCUGGCUGGGCCAGCUGCCUCUCAAACUUGGAUCACCCUACUUUGGACAGCAGGAGGUGCUGAUGUGUUGUUUCCUUUCCCCUGCCAAGGGCCCGAUCCUGCAGAGACAAACACUUUCACCCAAUUACUGGGCCGUAAGACUGGACUGCUGUAUAGCGCUGCAUGGCCUCAACUCCCACCCAUCCGAAUGGGAGAUGAAAGUACUCAGCAUUUGGCAGGACUAAGCCUUUACUUGGGCACAGCUGGAAUUAUUGCACCAUUUUCUUGCUUGAAUCAAGGAAGAGAAAUAUACUUCAAAGUAUUAAGGGUGAAGAACAUCUUUGCAUAGAGGAAUGGUCCAGAGCCUGGUUCGCUGGGUUACCUGUAUUGCUAUGGUGGCAUCUUUCUCUUUUGGUUUUGCUUGGAAAAUGCUGGUGGCAACCAGGAAAAAAAGGAACAGGAACAGCAAUUGCCAUGAUAAGUAGCAACGUGACCAUGGCAGCAACUUUCCAUCCUCAUGCUUCAGGGCAUCUUUUGGUCACCAGUGGUGGGGUCAGGAAGGAACAUCCCUCCUUCCUCACUCCUUAGUGGUAGGAUAUAGUGUCUUGACAGGAGUCGUAGGAAAGAGGGGUAAGCACUGUCUUUAGAACAAGCCUCCCAUUUUCAAGGGAAAAAAGGACUUAGGGCUAGUUCUAGUUACCAUUAAGUGCCUGAGUAUAAUCCUAGUUUGCCCCAUUCAUGGCCCUGGAAGCCAGGUAAUGUGGAAGGUGUGUGAGUGUUUCUCACUGCUGCUUGUGAUUUUAGCCUCGAGGCGUGGUACAGAAGUAGAUGCAUCCGCGGUUUUUUAGGGACUUGAGCAGGGUGGAAUAGAAUCGUACCCAAGAGCUGGAAUAGGAUUGGACCCAGAGUCUCAGCUCUGUUUUGGAAGGGAGAAUGGAUUUAGGGUCCUCAGCCUCUUCCAUGGGGGAUUUGGCCUCGUACUAGACCAGGCUUUAUCAAGCCAAGGCCUCUGGGGUAGCAAAGUCCUUGGGGGAAUCCAGGUCCAGAUGAUUACACAAAAGCUGCCAGAUAAAUAGAUUAGCUUCCGUAUAGCUGGAUCGGCAAGAGCAAAGGUCAGUGUGUCAAGAGGGACAGGUGCUCCUGGAAGACCCCAGGGAAUUAGCACUUGCUUUGCUGGAUUUGGGAUGCCAGAGGCAGGGGAGCUCAGCACACUGGUAAUUGCGCAGGUGGGAAUACACAGGGCCCUCCCCUCCAGCCCUCUCUGGGUUCAUUUCAAAGCCACAUCAAAAGCCACUCAGAAGACAAAGCUUUCUUGCCCCAGGUGCUGUACCUACCCCUCAGGGGAGAUACUUCUGGCAUUAAAAUUGCUGACAGAGUAGCCAGGAAGGAAAACUGAGGCGGGGCUGUUAUGCAAAUAGCAUAAAUACCUGCUUGAUGUUAGGUAAAUAACAUGGAAAUAGACUUUUGCUUAUUGCUUUUAAUCUUGUGUACUUUCUUGAGUUUUGCAUUGCCUUCAGAAACUCCAUUUUGUAUUGCUCUGUAGUGGGAGGUAGGUGCUUGACCUUUUACUCUUUUGUAUGCUGUAUGGGUGAGAGUGUGUUUGUGGGAAAGGAAAACAUCAGCUGGUGACUGGCUGAAGAACGCAGACAGACAAAAGACC
Molecule: long non-coding RNA, 2321 nt
Organism: Gavialis gangeticus (Gharial)
Lineage: Eukaryota; Metazoa; Chordata; Crocodylia; Gavialidae
Exons: 2
Source: RefSeq, a predicted model, not a curated record